Molecule: ribosomal RNA, 133 nt
Filed under: uncultured bacterium
Lineage: Bacteria
Description: partial 16S ribosomal RNA
Source: RNAcentral
AGGUACCGUCAAAUAAUACGGGUAUUAACCGUAUUACAUUUCUUCCCUACUGACAGAGCUUUACGACCCAAGGCCUUCCUCACUCACGCGGCGUCGCUGCGUCAGGGUUUCCCCCAUUGCGCAAUAUUCCUCA